CCUACGUGUGGCAGCAGUGGGGAAUAUUGCGCAAUGGGCGAAAGCCUGACGCAGCGACGCCGCGUGAGGGAUGAAGGUCUUCGGAUCGUAAACCUCUGUCAGCAGGGAAGAACGGUCACUGUGCUAAUCAGCAGUGAAUUGACGGUACCUGCAAAGGAAGCACCGGCUAACUCCGUGCCAGCAGCCACGGUAAUACGGAGGGUGCGAGCGUUAAUCGGAAUUACUGGGCGUAAAGCGCUCGUAGGCGGUAUGUCAAGUCAAGGGUGAAAUCCCCGCGCUCAACGUGGGAACUGCCUUUGAAACUGGCAAACUGGAGUGUGUGAGAGGAUAGUGGAAUUCCAGGUGUAGGAGUGAAAUCCGUAGAUAUCUGGAGGAAAAUCAGUGGCGAAGGCGACUAUCUGGCACAUAACUGACGCUGAGGAGCGAAAGCGUGGGUAGCAAACAGGAUUAGAUACCCCAGUAGUC
RNAcentral lists this ribosomal RNA (465 nucleotides) under uncultured bacterium. Its description in RNAcentral is "partial 16S ribosomal RNA". It matches the Rfam family "Bacterial small subunit ribosomal RNA", at positions 338 to 795 of the family's 1533-position model. The record is from RNAcentral.